GAUGAACGCUGGCGGCGUGCUUAAUACAUGCAAGUCGAACGAACAGGCGCGGCUCUUGGGGCGGUGUCGUGAGGAGCGGGCGGGUAAGACACGCGUGACCAACCCACAUAUCUGGCUGAAAUAACGGCGAGAAAGCGGAGCUAAGGCCGGAUGAGAUCUUGAAACGGAUGGUUUUAUAAAGAAAUACGGGUUUUGUGUGGGUUUUCGAUGGAUCAGCGCCGUAUUAGGUAGAUGGGGAGGUAAUGGGAUACCAAGGCAACGGGGGGUAGCCGACAUGAGAGGGUAGCCGGCCACCCUGGGCCUGAGACACGGCGCAGACUCCUACGGGCGGCAGCAGUCGGGAAUAUUGCACAAUGGGGGCGAGCCUGAUGUAGCGACCCCGCGUGCGUGAUGACGUCCUUCGAGUUGUAAACCAAUUUCUAAAUGGAAGAAGCCAAAGUGACGGUACCUGAUCAAGAAGCACCGGCUAACUACGUG
Molecule: ribosomal RNA, 477 nt
Filed under: uncultured bacterium
Lineage: Bacteria
Description: partial 16S ribosomal RNA
Rfam family: Bacterial small subunit ribosomal RNA
Source: RNAcentral